This is a long non-coding RNA of Gadus macrocephalus (Pacific cod), 2373 nucleotides long. RefSeq lists it as uncharacterized. Lineage: Eukaryota; Metazoa; Chordata; Actinopteri; Gadiformes; Gadidae. The transcript is spliced from 2 exons. The record is from RefSeq and is a predicted model, not a curated record.
UUAUUUUGUUGGAUUGCUGUCGCUAAUGAACGCUUCAAAUUCGCAUAUCAUUGUGGAACCCGGCCAUGUAGGCGACUCAUCAAAAGGUCAUGACCAAUAGUCUAUAAAUGGAGUUUGUUUAUUUUCUAUGUUAGUGUUUAUUUUACUACAUUAGUAGUGAUAUCAAAUAAACCCUGUGGUCUUCUGAAAGAGAAAGUUACUCUUUCCUCCGCGCGGGUUCAGACUAGUCGACGCGGGCUGGAUAUUGGUUUACUAGACUCAACAUUGAUCAAUUACUGCUGAAGUCUCAUGUGACAAGAUAUAUACACACUAGAUCCUCUUUUGCCAGGAAACAACGUAGAUGUGGUCUGUGUGGGGGGGGGGGGGGGGGGGGGGGGGUGGGGAGAGACUUCCCGUUCUGUAAACAGCUUGUGAUUCACACGCACACCUUUUUAUUCUCUAUUAAUGACAUAUCAUGAUGACACCCGGACACCGCUGGAACAAGUCCAGUUUCUUUUUAACAGGUCAGACGGGUCCGCCCAUCUCAUAUGAUUCGUUAGUUUACCUGAGUGCCACCAGCGCCUAUCUGAAAGGUUUAGGUGUUCUCAACCAGAAGCUGGGAGCGGCCACACAGAAGGAAAAAUAGACGCUGAAACAGACGCUGGGACAAGACUAUUUUUUGACACAGACCUACACGUCAUACUUCACUGGACGCCAGUGUUGGCAGUUUAGGUGUUAUGUCGCUGGUGACGGUGUUGUCUCUUCACCCUGCUCCAUAUAGCGAACACAACACACCACAAUGAUGAUCUCACUUUACACUUUGACUUUAAUGACAAACCGAAUUGAAAGUUAGAGCCAGGGUCAAAGGUUUUUUGUUAAUAUUUACAAUACAGUUCAUUACAACGCAACAUUGUAAAAUAAUCUUUAUAAAUGAUGACAUGUUUUUUUAUCGUCGUUAAAUCAGACACCGUGUGCAGUGACCACAGCCGCCAUUCGGCGGUUCUUUAGACGUCAGGAGACAAGAUGGAGGCCGGUGUUGUGGCAGUUUGUAGGCCUACAGUUGGUGUUGUGGUGCUCGUGAUCUCUGGCGGGAAGCCAGGCUGCAGCUACCGGGGCUUUCCACAGCCAACACUCAGCACACCAUGUGACCCAGGCAGCCAAUCGGGCCGCCCAGGCAGACUGUCUCCAAACCAGUCAGUUCAGUCCUGGCCCUUACCUGGCAGCAAUCUUGGUGCUACACGUUGGGUGGGGAACUGAAUAAGGAUUUAUACAUAAAUAUUAUUUGAUCUGCAUAUAGAUCAUAACUGUUUUCAUGAUAUUAAAGCUAUUUACAUUUAGUAAAAUUGUGUUCAUAUUAUAUAUAUUCCCAAAAACGGAAAAAAUUUAAAGCUAAAUACCUUAAUCAAGUUAAUCAAUGUUUUUGUGAAUGUAUACGUCAUCGCUUCUCAGUUUUUUAUAACUCAAUAUAAUAAUUUUGUAUUAUCAAUUUCAGUAUCUUUUUAUUCAAUUACAUAUUAUUUUAAAACAAAUUAGUUUAUAUUUGUCAAUUUAAUCCUGAGGAUUAACCUAAAACCAAACAUCCUUUAAUAAUAAACCCUAUAAACGAAGUAUGUAAACUUGUAAACUUAACCUAAUGAUAAGUACAUAAAAUAUAUGUAGGCAAUUUUUUUUUAAGGUAUUUUAUUGAAAGAUAACCCAAGGAUAUAUGAUCCAAUUCCCCAAAAAACAAAGAAUAUGCAACAAAGAACAUUAAGGCUGAAGCAACCUAGCUCGAUUUUUGGAGCCUAUGUAGCAAUGCAAUUCUCUAGCUAGCAGAACUCUGAAUUCAUACAAUUUAAGGAGGCACAUCGAAUUAAUCUAAUAUUGUAUUCAAACUUGACAGACUCUCACCGUCCAAAAUCUUAAUUCAGAAUCUUUAAACAUUAUUUUAAACUAGAGCUGUCAAGCGAUUAAAAUAUUUAAUCGUGAUUAAUCGCAUUAAUGUCAUAGUUAACUCACGAUUAAUCGCAAAUUCUUUUUCUAUGCUAAAUAUCCCUUGAUUUAUUUUUCCCAUAAUUCUUCUCAUUUUAAUUAUCUUAUCAACAUGGUGAAGUGCAUCGGCUUGCCUUGUGCAAAUGAUUUUUUAUUGAUAACAACAUUGGCAUAUACUGAUCAAAACAGGACGAUACAAAAAAAGCCUAUAGUGCAAUUAUUAUUUUUUAAAUAAAAGAAUUGCGUUAAUCGCGCGAUAAUUUUUUUAACGCCGUUAAAAUUGGUUUGCGUUAACGCCGUUAAUAACGCGUUUAACUGACAGCUCUAUUUUAAACAUAUUAAACAAUAUUAUAUUAUUAUAAUAUUAUAUUAAUAUCAUAUAUUAUAAUAUAUAUUAAAUAAGUAAAAUGUUAUAACACGAAG